UUCCUUAAUAUUUUACCUCGUUGCUCUUACUAGGGCACCAGGUUUAUAAUUUAAUAGUUUUGCUAUUAUAUAAUGGUAUAUUAUGCAACAAGUUUUCCAAACGACACUUUAGUCACUAGUUUGUUUAGGUUUUCGUAGGUAUAGCCGGUCUUGUGUGUGUGUUUUUUGUUAUUAUUAUUCGAAAUCGAAUUUUCGCAUUUAGUUGCUAAAUCAUUUAUUUAGGCUCCAAUGUGGAACUGGAAUAAUCUGACGUAUUAUUAGAGUGGAAUUUUCAAAUACUUCAACUUAAAACGGACAUAUAAACAAACAAAACAAACAAACACACAAAACACUCAAACCAAGAUAGAGGUUCUACGAUCUGAAGGAUCUAAGGGCAUAUGAUCUGCCCAAUAUGCACAAACAAGACUUCUUUCCCAUUUAAUGCAGACUUAAUUAAAGAUUUAAAUAGUUGCCAUACGUAACUGUACUUUAGGAAUUUAGAUAACUGUUAAGCUUGCAGAAAUAAAGAACCUCUGUUUGCGCUAGAGGAAGAAAAUACCCGCACGGUGAAGAAAAUAUAUGAUUUCUCAACUCAGCUAAAAAAAACGCGGUGUGAAAAGUGGAGCUACUAUUUACAUUCAUGAGACGUGUAUUUUGAGAAUUAUAGUUAAUACCAGAGUAAAUAUUUUUUCAAGAUUUCUUUGAUUUUUAGGAUUUGUUACCAUAACGUUUGUUGAAAUUGGCGUCAGACGCACUGACAAACUCAGACAGAGAUUAUCAAACCCGAACAAGAGAAAAUUGUUCAAAAAUUAUCUGAAGUAGUUUCGAAUCAAUGGUUAAUUGAAUAUUAGAGAGAACCAACCUUGAAACAAGGGGAUACUCUGGCCAGGCCUCAUGCAGAAACAAUUGCAUUUGAAAAAAAAACGAGCGGUUGUGAAACUGCAGGUGUUACAAGUGUUACAUUAUUUUACAAGAAACAAAUAGCUUUGCUCGAGGUAAUCUUUUUAGCAAAUUUAAAACGGGCACACAACAACGAAACGCCAAAAAGAAGAGAAAUUAGAAGAAAUAGAACAUAUUAUUAUAAUUGUUGGAUUUUUUAUGUUUACAUAAACACUUAGCUUUAGCUUUAAAAUAACUGUCAACAUGUAGUGGCUCCAAGAAAAAAAAAGUGUAGUGGCAACGGUGCGGGGAACUCUGCGCUUUUGAGAGAAUUCCGUGAGAGGAGACGAGUGAGCUAUGCGUCGAAUAGUUUCCAAUUUUUAAUGCGGAUUUUUAUGAGUGUAAAUUCCGAGUGUGGAAAUAAAUG
Long non-coding RNA from Cylas formicarius (sweet potato weevil), 1285 nucleotides. RefSeq lists it as uncharacterized. The record is from RefSeq and is a predicted model, not a curated record. Lineage: Eukaryota; Metazoa; Arthropoda; Insecta; Coleoptera; Brentidae. The transcript is spliced from 3 exons.